RNAcentral lists this unclassified non-coding RNA (203 nucleotides) under Hevea brasiliensis (rubber tree). Lineage: Eukaryota; Viridiplantae; Streptophyta; Magnoliopsida; Malpighiales; Euphorbiaceae. The record is from RNAcentral.
GAACUCACGGUGAAUCCCACUACAAGUUAUGCACACGAAGGUCCAGAAAUUCGUACACACAUACUGUGGACCCAGGCUGUCGCAAUUGAUGCAUCUCCGGUUCGGCGGGAGCUUCAUGAGCCCCCGGAUGAUCUUCUCGUUCCGCUCCUCCUCCUUCUUGCUGCUCAUCCUUGCCGAUCCCUUCGCGGCGGCGCUAGGGUUUU